Molecule: small RNA, 652 nt
Filed under: Pan troglodytes (chimpanzee)
Lineage: Eukaryota; Metazoa; Chordata; Mammalia; Primates; Hominidae
Description: processed transcript
Source: RNAcentral
GUGUUUGUGUCUGACACACCGGUGCCCGUGGGCAUCCCAGACCGGGCGGCGCUCACCAUCCCACAGGGCAUGGAGGUGGUCAAGGACACUAGUGGAGAGAGUGACGUGCGAUGUGUAAACGAGGUCAUCCCCAAGGGCCACAUCUUCGGCCCCUAUGAGGGGCAGAUCUCCACCCAGGACAAAUCAGCUGGCUUCUUCUCCUGGCUGAUUGUGGACAAGAACAACCGCUAUAAGUCCAUAGAUGGCUCAGACGAGACCAAAGCCAACUGGAUGAGGUACGUGGUCAUCUCCCGGGAGGAGAGGGAGCAGAACCUGCUGGCGUUCCAGCACAGUGAGCGCAUCUACUUCCGGGCGUGCAGGGACAUCCGGCCUGGGGAGUGGCUGCGGGUCUGGUACAGCGAGGACUACAUGAAGCGCCUGCACAGCAUGUCCCAGGAAACCAUUCACCGCAACCUGGCCAGAGCCUCAGAGAGCAUGGUCUCCGGCCCCGCCAUCAUGGAGGACGAUGACCAGGAAGUCGAUUCAGCAGAUGAAUCUGUCUCCAAUGAUAUGAUGACAGCGACAGAUGAGCCCUCCAAGAUGUCAUCGGCCACCGGGCGCCGAAUCCGGCGCUUUAAGCAGGAAUGGCUGAAGAAGUUCUGGUUCCUGCGGU